UCUACGGGUGGCUGCAGUGGGGAAUAUUGGACAAUGGGCGAAAGCCUGAUCCAGCCAUGCCGCGUGUGUGAAGAAGGCCUUCGGGUUGUAAAGCACUUUCAGUGGGGAAGAAAGCCUUGGGGCUAAUACCCUCGAGGAAGGACAUCACCCACAGAAGAAGCACCGGCUAACUCCGUGCCAGCAGCCGCGGUAAUACGGAGGGUGCGAGCGUUAAUCGGAAUUACUGGGCGUAAAGCGCGCGUAGGCGGUCUGAUAAGCCGGUUGUGAAAGCCCCGGGCUCAACCUGGGAACGGCAUCCGGAACUGUCAGGCUAGAGUGCAGGAGAGGAAGGUAGAAUUCCCGGUGUAGCGGUGAAAUGCGUAGAGAUCGGUAGGAAUACCAGUGGCGAAGGCGGCCUUCUGGACUGACACUGACGCUGAGGUGCGAAAGCGUGGGUAGCAAACAGGAUUAGAUACCCCAGUAGUC
This 465-nucleotide ribosomal RNA is filed under the name Vreelandella stevensii. RNAcentral's name for it is "partial 16S ribosomal RNA". It matches the Rfam family "Bacterial small subunit ribosomal RNA", at positions 338 to 795 of the family's 1533-position model. Lineage: Bacteria; Pseudomonadati; Pseudomonadota; Gammaproteobacteria; Oceanospirillales; Halomonadaceae. The record is from RNAcentral.